RNAcentral lists this small nuclear RNA (106 nucleotides) under Propithecus coquereli (Coquerel's sifaka). The record is from RNAcentral. Lineage: Eukaryota; Metazoa; Chordata; Mammalia; Primates; Indriidae.
AUGCUUGCUUCGGCAGCACAUAUACUAAAAUUGGGACAAUACAGAGAAGAUUAGCAUGGUCCCGCAUAAGGAUCACACGCUUUAUAAAAAAAAAAAAAAAAAUUUA